RNAcentral lists this unclassified non-coding RNA (252 nucleotides) under uncultured fungus. RNAcentral describes it as "sequence contains ITS2". The record is from RNAcentral. Lineage: Eukaryota; Fungi.
AACGCACAUUGCGCCCCUCGGUAUUCCGUGGGGCAUGCCUGUUCGAGCGUCAUUUACCCCCUCAAGCUCAGCUUGGUAUUGGGUGCUUGUCCCGCCUCUCUGGGCGGCGACUCACCUCAAAAUCAGUGGCAGCCCGCAUCCGCCGGCCGUGAGCGCAGCAAAUUCGCGCUCGAAGCCUGGCAGGUCGGCUCUCCAGAAGCCCUUUUUUUUACUCUUGACCUCGGAUCAGGUAGGGAUACCCGCUGAACUUAA